Molecule: long non-coding RNA, 1352 nt
Organism: Betta splendens (Siamese fighting fish)
Lineage: Eukaryota; Metazoa; Chordata; Actinopteri; Anabantiformes; Osphronemidae
Source: Ensembl
AGCAACCUUGAACAGGCAACAAGGAAUGCGGCAACAGCCAAAUACCUCCAACGAGUAAGGCAAGUCUUAAGAAGCCAGCUCAAUGGCAAGAACAAAUCCCGGGCAAUAAACAGCUACGCUCUGCCAGUGAUCAGAUACCCUGCAGGAAUAAUAAGGUGGCCAAAGGAAGAGAUACAGACCACAGAUGUUAAGACACGAAAGCUCCUCACCAUGCAUGGAGGGUUCCACCCCAAAUCCAGCACCCUGAGACUGUACGCUAGUCGCAAGGAAGGAGGCCGAGGACUAGUGAGCGUGAGAGCCACUAUCCAGGAUGAAACAUCCAAGCUCCAUAAGUACAUCAAGGAUAAGGCCCCGACAGACGACGUGCUGGGUGAAUGUCUCAGGCAGUGGAGAACAGAGGAUGAGGUGCUGGAAGAGGGACCAUCAUGGGAGGACAAGCCCUUACACGGGAUGUACCACCGGAACAUAACUGAAGUGGCUGAUCUCAACAAAUCCUACCAAUGGCUUGAAAGGGCUGGGCUGAAGGACAGCACAGAGGCACUCAUCCUGGCUGCACAGGAGCAGGCCCUGAGCACCAGAGCCAUAGAGGCCCAGAUCUACCACACCAGACAAGACCCAAGGUGUAGACUGUGCAAAGAGGUCCCUGAGACGAUCCAGCACAUAACUGCAGGGUGUAAGUUGCUGGCAGGGAAAGCAUACAUGGAACGCCAUAACCAAGUGGCUGGCAUAGUAUACAGGAACAUCUGCGCGGAGUAUGGACUGGAAACCCCAAGGUCAAAGUGGGAAACACCUCCCAAGGUGGUAGAGAACGAGCGAGCCAAGAUCCUGUGGGACUUCCAGAUACAGACAGACAGAAUGGUAAUGGCGAACCAACCAGACAUUGUGGUGGUGGACAAAGAGCAGAGGAAAGCCGUAGUGGUGGAUGUGGCAAUACCAAGCGAUGGCAACAUCAGGAAAAAGGAACAUGAGAAACUAGAAAAAUACCAAGGGCUCAGAGAAGAACUGGAGAAGGCUUGGAAGGUGAAGGCCACAGUGGUGCCUGUGGUGAUCGGAGCACUAGGGGCUGUGACCCCCAAACUGGAGGAGUGGCUACGACAGAUCCCUGGAAAAACAUCCGAAAUCUCAGUCCAGAAAAGUGCAGUCCUAGGAACAGCAAGGAUACUGCGCAGAACCCUCAAGCUCCCUGGCCUCUGGUAGAGGACCCGAGCUUGGAAAGUGGAUGAGACCACCCGCGGAGGAGAAUAGAGUGUGUGUAUAUAUAUAUAUAUAUAGUUUCACUGGGGCUGGGGGUGGAAAUCCAUGUUGCAGUGUGGAACCUUCAGAGGAAGUGUCCAGGGAGAGGGGAGUCCGUU